UCAAGUGAAGAAGCGCAUACGGUGGAUGCCUUGGCAGUCAGAGGCGAUGAAAGACGUGGUAGCCUGCGAAAAGCUUCGGGGAGUCGGCAAACAGACUUUGAUCCGGAGAUCUCUGAAUGGGGGAACCCACCUAGGAUAACCUAGGUAUCUUGUACUGAAUCCAUAGGUGCAAGAGGCGAACCAGGGGAACUGAAACAUCUAAGUACCCUGAGGAAAAGAAAUCAACCGAGAUUCCCUUAGUAGUGGCGAGCGAACGGGGAUUAGCCCUUAAGCUUCAUUGAUUUUAGCGGAACGCUCUGGAAAGUGCGGCCAUAGUGGGUGAUAGCCCCGUACGCGAAAGGAUCUUUGAAGUGAAAUCGAGUAGGACGGAGCACGAGAAACUUUGUCUGAACAUGGGGGGACCAUCCUCCAAGGCUAAAUACUACUGACUGACCGAUAGUGAACCAGUACCGUGAGGGAAAGGCGAAAAGAACCCCGGAGAGGGGAGUGAAAUAGAACCUGAAACCGUAUGCGUACAAGCAGUGGGAGCCUACUUGUUAGGUGACUGCGUACCUUUUGUAUAAUGGGUCAGCGACUUAUAUUCAGUGGCAAGCUUAACCGUAUAGGGUAGGCGUAGCGAAAGCGAGUCUUAAUAGGGCGUUUAGUCGCUGGGUAUAGACCCGAAACCGGGCGAUCUAUCCAUGAGCAGGUUGAAGGUUAGGUAACACUGACUGGAGGACCGAACCCACUCCCGUUGAAAAGGUAGGGGAUGACUUGUGGAUCGGAGUGAAAGGCUAAUCAAGCUCGGAGAUAGCUGGUUCUCCUCGAAAGCUAUUUAGGUAGCGCCUCAUGUAUCACUCUGGGGGGUAGAGCACUGUUUCGGCUAGGGGGUCAUCCCGACUUACCAAACCGAUGCAAACUCCGAAUACCCAGAAGUGCCGAGCAUGGGAGACACACGGCGGGUGCUAACGUCCGUCGUGAAAAGGGAAACAACCCAGACCGCCAGCUAAGGUCCCAAAGUUGUGGUUAAGUGGUAAACGAUGUGGGAAGGCUUAGACAGCUAGGAGGUUGGCUUAGAAGCAGCCAUCCUUUAAAGAAAGCGUAAUAGCUCACUAGUCGAGUCGGCCUGCGCGGAAGAUGUAACGGGGCUCAAACCACACACCGAAGCUGCGGGUGUCACGCAAGUGACGCGGUAGAGGAGCGUUCUGUAAGCCUGUGAAGGUGAGUUGAGAAGCUUGCUGGAGGUAUCAGAAGUGCGAAUGCUGACAUGAGUAACGACAAUGGGUGUGAAAAACACCCACGCCGAAAGACCAAGGGUUCCUGCGCAACGUUAAUCGACGCAGGGUUAGUCGGUUCCUAAGGCGAGGCUGAAAAGCGUAGUCGAUGGGAAACAGGUUAAUAUUCCUGUACUUCUGGUUACUGCGAUGGAGGGACGGAGAAGGCUAGGCCAGCUUGGCGUUGGUUGUCCAAGUUUAAGGUGGUAGGCUGAAAUCUUAGGUAAAUCCGGGGUUUCAAGGCCGAGAGCUGAUGACGAGUCGUCUUUUAGAUGACGAAGUGGUUGAUGCCAUGCUUCCAAGAAAAGCUUCUAAGCUUCAGGUAACCAGGAACCGUACCCCAAACCGACACAGGUGGUCGGGUAGAGAAUACCAAGGCGCUUGAGAGAACUCGGGUGAAGGAACUAGGCAAAAUGGCACCGUAACUUCGGGAGAAGGUGCGCCGGCUAGGGUGAAGGAUUUACUCCGUAAGCUCUGGCUGGUCGAAGAUACCAGGCCGCUGCGACUGUUUAUUAAAAACACAGCACUCUGCAAACACGAAAGUGGACGUAUAGGGUGUGACGCCUGCCCGGUGCCGGAAGGUUAAUUGAUGGGGUUAGCGCAAGCGAAGCUCUUGAUCGAAGCCCCGGUAAACGGCGGCCGUAACUAUAACGGUCCUAAGGUAGCGAAAUUCCUUGUCGGGUAAGUUCCGACCUGCACGAAUGGCGUAACGAUGGCGGCGCUGUCUCCACCCGAGACUCAGUGAAAUUGAAAUCGCUGUGAAGAUGCAGUGUAUCCGCGGCUAGACGGAAAGACCCCGUGAACCUUUACUGUAGCUUUGCACUGGACUUUGAGCCUGCUUGUGUAGGAUAGGUGGGAGGCUUUGAAGCGUGGACGCCAGUUCGCGUGGAGCCAUCCUUGAAAUACCACCCUGGCAUGCUUGAGGUUCUAACUCUGGUCCGUGAUCCGGAUCGAGGACAGUGUAUGGUGGGCAGUUUGACUGGGGCGGUCUCCUCCUAAAGAGUAACGGAGGAGUACGAAGG
Molecule: ribosomal RNA, 2275 nt
Filed under: Pseudomonas aeruginosa
Lineage: Bacteria; Pseudomonadati; Pseudomonadota; Gammaproteobacteria; Pseudomonadales; Pseudomonadaceae
Description: bacterial LSU rRNA
Rfam family: Bacterial large subunit ribosomal RNA
Source: RNAcentral